This 73-nucleotide transfer RNA is filed under the name Candidatus Kaiserbacteria bacterium RIFCSPHIGHO2_02_FULL_49_11. Its description in RNAcentral is "tRNA-Arg". It matches the Rfam family "tRNA". Rfam says of the family: Transfer RNA (tRNA) molecules are approximately 80 nucleotides in length. Their secondary structure includes four short double-helical elements and three loops (D, anti-codon, and T loops). The record is from RNAcentral. Lineage: Bacteria; Candidatus Kaiseribacteriota.
GCCCUCGUAGCUCAACGGAUAGAGCGAGCCGCUUCUAUCGGCAAGGUUGGAGGUUCAACUCCUCCCGAGGGCA